Molecule: long non-coding RNA, 1327 nt
Organism: Rhagoletis zephyria (snowberry fruit fly)
Lineage: Eukaryota; Metazoa; Arthropoda; Insecta; Diptera; Tephritidae
Source: RefSeq, a predicted model, not a curated record
GUUUAUGAUCCCGAAAUACUAACCACUAAUGACGAUUCCGCAGCACCUUCUUCAGUAGCGAAACGUGUUCAGCAACGAAUUAUAGCAAAUUUUUUUUUAAUAUUCGUAUAACUUAAUAUAUGCCGUCAACGAUCGUCUCGAUGAUAGGCCAGCCAUCCACCAAGAGACGCAAAUUUGUUCAAUGCACGUUAACUAACGCCUUUAUUUGUCAUCAAUUUUUUUUUUCAUCUUCCUCUGCACAAUAAAAUGGGCAACGCUUUUUGCAUUAUAUGUAAUGCAUAUUCAACAAAUCAACAGUAUUUAUUUUUCACGUUCAAUGAACAUACUUGGCGAGCCGUUAAAUGGCACCGCUAAAACUGCGAACUAACCAGCUAAAUUUAUUGAUUUUUAUAGCCUCAAUGAAAAAGUUCCACACCUGCGCCGGCUUUAGUAGCAAUGUAUGCACGAUUGCUCGUUCAUACGAAAUCGAACCGGUGGACAUUAAAAGGAUUCUUGCGUAAGCUAUUCGGAAGAAGCAAGCUAGGGCUGUGCAAUUAAUUGAUUAUUCAAAACCUUAAUUAAUAUCGUAUUAAUCAUUAUCAUACUUUAAAUGUAAUAUGUUAAUCGAACAACUGAUUAACCAACUUGCUCGAGUAAUCGAAUAAUCGCACAACCCUAAAGCAAACCCAUAUUUCAUAAUUGUUUACAUUUUCAUUAACUCUUAUAGAGCAAUUGUUGCCCGCUGUUUCCAAGCAUCAAUACAGCCUAUAUUGCUGAAAAUGUUCCUAAAUCUAUUACAAAACAACCAACCCAACAGCGCCCUUACACUGUGCGGGCGUUUCGCUGUAAACCAAUAAAAAACAAUUGAAUUUGUGAGUGCCGGUGCUGUUGUGAAGGGUUAUUCAUGGAUACCACAAAAAGAGAUACAAAACUACAUCAAUGCUGUUGGCAUAAUACUCGCUUCUCUGCCUGAGAAAUAUUGGAAUGCAAAUGAUCACCAUAGUGAGCCGCUGAUACCUAUGUGUCUUCAGUUGGUAAUUGCAUAGUUACCGCCGCGAGUGCGGUUCACAAUGCUCUUUGCCGCAUUCUUUUUGGCAUGGUCGUUUGUUGAACCAGCCCACAUAACAGACGCUCAUUUGGCAAGUUCUAUUUCCGUUGCUUGAUAAUGUGCGUGCGCUUUCCAGUACGGGAAGCAGUUAGAGGUGCAAAACUAUCGAUGGCACUAUCGAUAGUAUCGAUGUUUUUUAUUUUUCCCUACUAUCGAUUGUUUUUUGGUCCUAUCGAUAGUCCGACAGACAUGUGAUUCAGUAUUUAUUUAAGUUUUAUUUCUUCUUUUCUUUUCAUUUCU